RNAcentral lists this ribosomal RNA (468 nucleotides) under uncultured bacterium. RNAcentral's name for it is "partial 16S ribosomal RNA". It matches the Rfam family "Bacterial small subunit ribosomal RNA", at positions 28 to 507 of the family's 1533-position model. The record is from RNAcentral.
GACGAACGCUGGCGGCGUGCUUAACACAUGCAAGUCGAACGGAAAGGCCCUGCUUUUGUGGGGUGCUCGAGUGGCGAACGGGUGAGUAACACGUGAGUAACCUGCCCUUGACUUUGGGAUAACUUCAGGUAACUGGGGCUAAUACCGGAUAGGAGCUCCUGCUGCAUGGUGGGGGUUGGAAAGUUUCGGCGGUUGGGGAUGGACUCGCGGCUUAUCAGCUUGUUGGUUGGGUAGUGGCUUACCAAGGCUUUGACGGGUAGCCGGCCUGAGAGGGUGACCGGCCACAUGGGUACUGAGAUACGGCCCAGACGCCUACGGUAGGCAGCGGUGGGGAAUAUUGCACAAUGGGCGGAAGCCGGAGGCAGCAACGCCGCGGGCGGGAUGACGGCCUGCGGGUUAUAAACCGCUUUCGCCUGUGACGAAGCGUGAGUGACGGUAAUGGAUAAAGAAGCACCGGCUAACUACGUG